CCGGGGUUUUUCUUUUUUCAUUGCCUGUCCAUCAGAUUUUGGUAGAUGUUAACAACUCGAAGGGUAAAUAGGCAUCCUCUGCUUUGUCAAAACUAAAUCAUCGUUUUUCUUCCUCGAUCGUAAUCAGAGGAACACCAUCACCACCAUUAUAAACCAGACCGCCAUCAGUUUCAUCUUCUCCCACAAAAUCCACCACAGCAUGGCCACCAUUCUAGAAAAAACCACCACCACUUCAUUACUCUCUUCUUCUCCUCCGAAUUGUUGUUGUUUGCCCAGUUUUCCCCCAAUUUUAUGCCCUAAUCUAAUUGUAACAUCAACUCUCCCAACAAUUUUCCUCCCCAUUCAUUUUAUUCAACCUUCUUUUCUAUUUGCUCUAAGUCACGCCCUAAUAAUAAGCCCUAAUAUAAAAAAGCAACACCGUUACAGACAACUGCAAUUGAAACAGAAAAUUGGCAUGAAUUGAAAUUGGAUUUGUCAAAUUGGUUUCUCACCAACUUCGGUUCGAUUUCGAUUCAUACUAAUUUCAUUUUGAUACAGAAGAUACAGCUUCGUAUCACUAUCAAUUUUUCUGUUCCUCAAAAGAUCUCAAAGCCCAUCUUCAUUAUUUGAUUACAUCUACAGAUUUUAAAGGAAGGCGAUGAAUCUUCAAAGACGUUGGUACUGGGUAGGACCAUUGAUUUAAGGAGCCUAAUCGCUGAACAGAUGAGCAAAAUGUUUAGAGAUAAUCUAUGAUUGCCGUGGAUAAUCCGUGAUGAGCAAAAUAUUCAGAGAUCAGGGUAUGUGGGGUUUUGAUGAGAUACCAAAUUAUGUUUUUCUAACCCGACGAAGAACAAUUUGUGGAAACAGUAUUGGAGAAAUGUAUGGACUAUUGCCAAGAAGCCGAAAUUGGAAGUAAGAGAAUUCUGCCAAAUUCAAGUUUUGUUGCCGCUACGUAAAUGUGGUUAAAAUUAUAAUACAAAAAAAGAUUGGAUCUACACAUUCUAUUACAUAUUGCCAUGUUAUUUUAAGGACAAUCUGAACAACAUUGGUUUCUUCACAAUUUUGAUAUUACAUGUAAUUGCGGUAAUUGCUGAUACCAACAGUAUGUUCGAGCAUAAACUAAAGACCUUGCUGGUGCCAUUACAGCACCAGCACGGCAGCACCCCUUCCGCCCCCGUGCCAUUAUGGCACGGGCAAUCCACUAGUUAUCAAUAUAAGAAACAGACAUCCAACAGUUGCAACAUCAUCAUCAUCAUAAUGGCCAUUAGAGUAUGGUUGCAUAUUAAACAUUUUACUUUCUAUUGUGUUCUUAUGCAAUGCCACGUAUCAUAGAAAAAAUUAAUGGCACAACAAAUGAGGUAUUCAGCUCAAGCUUCGGCGACGAGAGGCAUUAAACAAGGCAACAGUGACGUGAUGGACAGUCCAGUGGUGCCAAACUCCCAUGCUCAUUCCAGCGUCCCAAUCUAUUGUUAAGAAGAGACAUCGAUUCAGUAUAUACUGGCAUAUGACCCAGAGAUACCAACAUGUGUGAAGACUAAAGUUGGCUUGAGUCCAUCAAUUUAAGAAGAAAUAAUGGCGGCAUCUGCGAUAGGCUCUUUCUUAUGGACGUGGGAGAAUGUCCUGAAGCCUAAGGAACAUGAGACUUGAAAGCGGAUCCAUAGAGUAAGGAGCUUGCAGAUAGCUUACUAAAGGUGGGAGAGGAUCCGGAACCAAGGAUUCAGCUUCCCACUUGAAUGAACAGAUGCGAAAAUCUUAGAAAUCUCAUCUCAACUGUGUAUUGGGGGAUUGAUGAAAUGAACACGGCCAUACAAAAUUAUCUGACUGAGAGAACGUUUUUUAUGCCUACGAAAUGAUGACUUGAUGGUGAUCAAGCAGUUAAUACUCCAGAUUGAUUGGGGUAAAUACCAUUCAUACAUGUCAGUAGACAAUACUCCAGAUUGAUUGUGGUAAAUACCAUCCAUACAUGGCAGUAGACAAUCUGGCAGACAAUGAUGAUAAGGAAUCACUGAUUUGGCUAUGAAAAUGACAAGAAAACAGUUCCCAGUAAUUAAGGUUAGCUUAUGCAUCUACCAGAUCAUCCUCUACUAUAAUGUCCACAGUUCGUGGUAUCUGACCAGGGGCAUUUUCCUCAGAAACUUCUUGCAUGGACAACGUUUGGUGAUCUUUGUAUUUGCAUAAUCCAUACUCAGUUAAGUUGCCAUUGUCAUCCUAAAAUUUAGCUGAUUAAUUAAAUACUCUUUUUGUACGGAAAUUAAAAAACAUCACAUCAGAAAGAAAAAAUUACCCGUAGGGGAAACACAGAUCCAGUCAGUCAGCCUAUACUCGAAGUAAUGUCUCGAUAUUCACGUGCUGUACACUUUUUACUUGGGUCUAACAAGAGUGCCUAGA
Molecule: long non-coding RNA, 2367 nt
Organism: Papaver somniferum (opium poppy)
Lineage: Eukaryota; Viridiplantae; Streptophyta; Magnoliopsida; Ranunculales; Papaveraceae
Exons: 5
Source: RefSeq, a predicted model, not a curated record